UGUCCCUUUCCCUCCUUUUUUUACUUUCUUUUUUAUGGUCGUAAACUCCUCCCCACUCUCCUCCCCGCAAGAUUCUUCCCCACCUGCCGCUUGUGGGGCAGCAGCCUCAGUCCUUCCUUCUCCCAAGGUCUCACAGGGAGGAAGGAAGGGCGGAGACACUUCCCCGAAGGCCCCACUUCUCACCACAGAGCCCUUGGCCCCUGUGGACUCGAUAGCACUGAGUGCUUCCUGCCCUGGGGCCGCCUGCACAAGUCUCCUCAGCAGGCACAGGGCUAAAGAGGAAGGGGGAGCAAGCCCCGUGCUGCAGCCAUACUGCCGCCAUACUUGUCUCACCGCCAUGCUGUCCCCCCACCCCUUCGCCAGGGCCAGUAUCCCAGGCAUGGAACAGAACCUGUCCACCCCUCUCCCCAAGUCCCUCGCCAGUUCCUCACAACUUGGAGUCCCUGACCCUGUUCAUUCUCUAGCAGGGUUGCCGGUGGAGCACAGCUGGGGACUUGGUGGAGAUAAUCACCAACCAGCUCCAGUCAAUUCUGACUCGUGGCGACCCCAUGUGUGUCGGAGUAGAACUGUACUCCAUAGAGUUUUCCAUGGCUGGUUUUUCAGAAGUAGAACAUCAGGCCUUUCUUCUGAGGUGCCUCUGGGAGGUCCUGAACCUCCAACCUUUUGGCAAGGCCAUUUGGAUAAGCUCAUGAUAUUCCGCACUUUCAGCAUUUCCCAAGGCUUUGCUGUGCGAGGAACUGCAAAUAUAACCUCUUGCAUAAUCAACAGAACUUGACCUCAGAGGUUGGAAAUUAUGCAUUUUACCCAGCAGAGGAAGAAAAAUGCAGCAAUAACUAGUGAUACCAAGGUGACACUUGUAUGUAUGGUUGGUAGGUGUGUGAACUGCUUCAGCCACUUUUUUCAAAAAUAAAUGUUUUUCCUUUAUUAAAGACCGUUUACUUACAAUAAAACACAUACAUUAAGUGUGCAUUUUGAGGAGUUUUGACAAAUAAAUCUGGACUCAAUCAUGUAGAACAUUUCCAUCACCCACCAGUUGUUCCCCAUGCCACAUUCUAGUUAAUUCCCCCACAAUUGUUCACUCUAGGCAACCCCUGAUCUUUUCCCGUCACUAUAGAUUUGUCGUCGUUGUUAUUAGGUGCCCUCAAGUCAGUUCUGACUCAUAGCGACCCUUUAUACAACAGAAUGAAACAUUGACCA
Long non-coding RNA from Loxodonta africana (African savanna elephant), 1197 nucleotides. RefSeq lists it as uncharacterized. The transcript is spliced from 4 exons. The record is from RefSeq and is a predicted model, not a curated record. Lineage: Eukaryota; Metazoa; Chordata; Mammalia; Proboscidea; Elephantidae.